RNAcentral lists this ribosomal RNA (253 nucleotides) under uncultured bacterium. Its description in RNAcentral is "partial 16S ribosomal RNA". It matches the Rfam family "Bacterial small subunit ribosomal RNA", at positions 524 to 776 of the family's 1533-position model. The record is from RNAcentral.
UACGGGGGGAGCAAGCGUUGUUCGGAUUUACUGGGCGUAAAGGGCUCGUAGGCGGCCAACUAAGUCAGACGUGAAAUCCCUAGGCUCAACCUAGGAACUGCGUCUGAUACUGGAUGGCUUGAAUCCGGGAGAGGGAUGCAGAAUUCCAGGUGUAGCGGUGAAAUGCGUAGAUAUCUGGAGGAAUACCAGUGGCGAAGGCGGCAUCCUGGACCGGCAUUGACGCUGAGGAGCGAAAGCUAGGGGAGCAAACGGG